UAGGGAAUAUUGGUCAAUGGGCGCAAGCCUGAACCAGCCAUGCCGCGUGCAGGAAGACGGCCUUCUGGGUUGUAAACUGCUUUUACCAGGGAACAAAGGGCUCCUGCGGGAGAAGUUGCGUGUACCUGGAGAAUAAGCACCGGCUAACUCCGUGCCAGCAGCCGCGGUAAUACGGAGGGUGCAAGCGUUGUCCGGAUUUAUUGGGUUUAAAGGGUGCGUAGGCGGUUUAUUAAGUCAGUGGUGAAAGCCCACAGCUCAACUGUGGAACUGCCAUUCAUACUGGUAAACUUGAGUACAGACGAGGUAGGCGGAAUUUAUGGUGGAUCGGUGAAAUGCAUAGAUACCAUAAAGAACCCCGAUAGCGAAGGCAGCUUACUAGACUGUAACUGACGCUGAGGCACGAAAGCGUGGGGAGCGAACAGGAUUAGAUACCCCCGUAGUCC
This 443-nucleotide ribosomal RNA is filed under the name uncultured prokaryote. RNAcentral describes it as "bacterial SSU rRNA". It matches the Rfam family "Bacterial small subunit ribosomal RNA", at positions 355 to 796 of the family's 1533-position model. The record is from RNAcentral.